This 223-nucleotide small RNA is filed under the name Olea europaea subsp. europaea. Lineage: Eukaryota; Viridiplantae; Streptophyta; Magnoliopsida; Lamiales; Oleaceae. The record is from RNAcentral.
AAGUUAAUUCCUAUAUAGUAAAUAAGAAAUAUAAGUAAAGAAUACAAUGAUACUACAUAUUUCAGAAUGGUCUUAACUAAAAUUUAAAUAAAAAAAUGUACCUCUUCGUUAGCUUCCUUCUCGCUAAACGUUGCACAAACUCUAGAGUAUGAUGAAAAAGUAAAAUUUUCUACACAUAAUAGAAAAAAAUUAACAAUAAAAGGAGUCGUGCGUGAGUUUGUGG